RNAcentral lists this ribosomal RNA (314 nucleotides) under uncultured bacterium. RNAcentral's name for it is "bacterial SSU rRNA". It matches the Rfam family "Bacterial small subunit ribosomal RNA", at positions 344 to 657 of the family's 1533-position model. The record is from RNAcentral.
GGAGGCAGCAGUGAGGAAUAUUGGUCAAUGGCCGAGAGGCUGAACCAGCCAAGUCGCGUGAGGGAUGAAGGUUUAUGGAUCGUAAACCUCUUUUAUAAGGGAAUAAGUGCGGGACGUGUCCCGUUUUGUAUGUACCUUAUGAAUAAGGAUCGGCUAACUCCGUGCCAGCAGCCGCGGUAAUACGGAGGAUCCGAGCGUUAUCCGGAUUUAUUGGGUUUAAAGGGUGCGUAGGCGGCCUUUUAAGUCAGCGGUGAAAGUCUGUGGCUCAACCAUAGAAUUGCCGUUGAAACUGGGGGGCUUGAGUAUGUUUGAGG